RNAcentral lists this ribosomal RNA (346 nucleotides) under uncultured bacterium. RNAcentral's name for it is "partial 16S ribosomal RNA". It matches the Rfam family "Bacterial small subunit ribosomal RNA", at positions 338 to 681 of the family's 1533-position model. The record is from RNAcentral.
CCUACGGGCGACAGCAGUGAGGAAUAUUGGUCAAUGGGCGCGAGCCUGAACCAGCCAAGUAGCGUGAAGGAUGACUGCCCUACGGGUUGUAAACUUCUUUUAUAAAGGAAUAAAGUGAGGCACGUGUGCCGUGUUGUAUGUACGUUAUGAAUAAGGAACGGCUAACUCCGUGCCAGCAGCCGCGGUAAUACGGAGGCUCCGAGCGUUAUCCGGAUUUAUUGGGUUUAAAGGGAGCGUAGAGGGGUUGUUAAGUCAGUUGUGAAAGUUUGCGGCUCCACCGUAAAAUUGCACUUGAUACUGGCAGUCUUUAUUACAGUUGAGGUAGGCGUCAUUCGUGUUGUAGCGG